This 328-nucleotide ribosomal RNA is filed under the name uncultured eukaryote. RNAcentral describes it as "partial 18S ribosomal RNA". It matches the Rfam family "Eukaryotic small subunit ribosomal RNA", at positions 1470 to 1796 of the family's 1831-position model. The record is from RNAcentral.
CCCUUAGAUGUCCUGGGCCGCACGCGCGUUACACUGAUGCAUUCAACGAGCUUAUAACCUUGGCCGAGAGGCCUGGGCAAUCUUGUUAACGUGCAUCGUGAUAGGGAUAGAUUAUUGAAAUUAUUAAUCUUGAACGAGGAAUUCCUAGUAAACGCAGAUCAUCAAUCUGCAUUGAUUACGUCCCUGCCCUUUGUUCACACCGCCCGUCGCACCUACCGAUUGGAUGGUCCGGUGAAGCCUCGGGAUUGUGGUUCUUGCCGCUUUAUUGUGGCGUGACCGCGAGAACUUGUCUAAACCUUAUCAUCUAGAGGAAGGUGAAGUCGUAACA